GUAAUACUUAGGAAUCUACCUAGUAGUGGGGGAUAGCUCGGGGAAACUCGAAUUAAUACCGCAUACGACCUACGGGAGAAAGGGGGCAACUUGUUGCUCUCGCUAUUAGAUGAGCCUAAGUCGGAUUAGCUAGAUGGUGGGGUAAAGGCCUACCAUGGCGACGAUCUGUAGCUGGUCUGAGAGGAUGAUCAGCCACACCGGGACUGAGACACGGCCCGGACUCCUACGGGAGGCAGCAGUGGGGAAUAUUGGACAAUGGGGGAAACCCUGAUCCAGCCAUGCCGCGUGUGUGAAGAAGGCCUUUUGGUUGUAAAGCACUUUAAGCAGUGAAGAAGACUCUUCGGUUAAUACCCGGAGACGAUGACAUUAGCUGCAGAAUAAGCACCGGCUAACUCUGUGCCAGCAGCCGCGGUAAUACAGAGGGUGCAAGCGUUAAUCGGAAUUACUGGGCGUAAAGCGAGCGUAGGUGGCUUGAUAAGUCAGAUGUGAAAUCCCCGGGCUUAACCUGGGAACUGCAUCUGAUACUGUCAGGCUAGAGUAGGUGAGAGGAAGGUAGAAUUCCAGGUGUAGCGGUGAAAUGCGUAGAGAUCUGGAGGAAUACCGAUGGCGAAGGCAGCCUUCUGGCAUCAUACUGACACUGAGGCU
RNAcentral lists this ribosomal RNA (645 nucleotides) under uncultured bacterium. RNAcentral describes it as "bacterial SSU rRNA". It matches the Rfam family "Bacterial small subunit ribosomal RNA", at positions 110 to 753 of the family's 1533-position model. The record is from RNAcentral.